GACGAACGCUGGCGGCGUGCCUAAUACAUGCAAGUUGAGCGCUGAAGGUUGGUACUUGUACCAACUGGAUGAGCAGCGAACGGGUGAGUAACGCGUGGGGAAUCUGCCUUUGAGCGGGGGACAACAUUUGGAAACGAAUGCUAAUACCGCAUAAAAACUUUAAACACAAGUUUUAAGUUUGAAAGAUGCAAUUGCAUCACUCAAAGAUGAUCCCGCGUUGUAUUAGCUAGUUGGUGAGGUAAAGGCUCACCAAGGCGAUGAUACAUAGCCGACCUGAGAGGGUGAUCGGCCACAUUGGGACUGAGACACGGCCCAAACUCCUACGGGAGGCAGCAGUAGGGAAUCUUCGGCGAUGGACGAAAGUCUGACCGAGCAACGCCGCGUGAGUGAAGAAGGGUUUCGGAUCGUAAAACUCUGUUGGUAGAGAAGAACGUUGGUGAGAGUGGAAAGCUCAUCAAGUGACGGUAACUACCCAGAAAGGGACGGCUAACUACGUG
Molecule: ribosomal RNA, 497 nt
Filed under: uncultured bacterium
Lineage: Bacteria
Description: partial 16S ribosomal RNA
Rfam family: Bacterial small subunit ribosomal RNA
Source: RNAcentral